UGUUAAAAAUUUUAUCUACUUCUGUUAUUAAAAAUUAGCGUAGCUGACAGAAUAAUUAGACAAUUACACAUGUAUCUCAUGCUGACGUAUAUGUACCAAUUUUUAUCAGUAGAAAUGGAUAAAAUUUUUAACA
Gossypium hirsutum (cotton) is the source of this 133-nucleotide non-coding RNA. Lineage: Eukaryota; Viridiplantae; Streptophyta; Magnoliopsida; Malvales; Malvaceae. The record is from Rfam.